Long non-coding RNA from Amphiprion ocellaris (clown anemonefish), 1435 nucleotides. Lineage: Eukaryota; Metazoa; Chordata; Actinopteri; Pomacentridae. The record is from Ensembl.
UUUACCAUAGACUGUAUAUAAUGGUAUUUACGCAGCUAAUCAACGUCAGGUGUCCUGAUGUGCAGCCACCGUUGUUCUCAUAGAUAUGAAUGAGUAGAUAGGACAAGCCCCUUUGAGCUGCAUGCUACUGCGAGGCUAAGCUAGUGGGGGCAAAGUUUCAGUGCAUUCUGUUGAUGUAGACGGCGUGAAAACGGAAACAACAAGUAUGCCGGCUCACUGUGCUGCAUACAAUUACACACUGCGUCGUACGAUUGAGACAAGGAAACUUGGAAUGACUUUUCAUAGGUUUCCCAGAGACUAUGGGUUGAGGAGGAAUUGGAAGUUUGUCGGCUUAGACCUGGUGUCAUUCCAUCAGUGUUUAACUUCCCGGCUCAUCUUUGAAGAGUAUGUGCCAGAAAGACCACGACCAAGCAGCCUUGAGAUCUUAGACAGCGUCUCCCUCAGUCAAAGGUCCCUCUCUAUCUCCCUACACAUCCACCAACCACUGGAACACAUCUCCAAAGUUCUGCCGGGCCAGCUCAGCUUCCCCUCAGAAGAAAUUCUGCCAGAUGAAGGAGCCUUUUGAGAGGCAGCUGGCAUCGUGAUUGGACUGUACUUUGGUCUGUUCCAAUCCAGCUUCAGCUCCAGAGACGGCAGGCGGGACGAGUCAACGGAGGCCGGGUGGACGAAGGCAUGCAGCUGAGUACAAUCCAGAAAACAACAGAGGAGGAGUGCAGCGACCCAGGGCCAGAACAAACAGAGUAACAUAACCAAAGAACUACAGACUCUUCACAACCUACUCAAACUCUUGGUACAGAACCUCACCACACGGGUCAAGAAGGUUUCCAUCUCAUUUCUACUCUGAAGUUCACCUUCUCCUGCUCAAACUGCUGACAAAUGUUUCUGCUGCUCUAAAGUCUGGUCUCCAGAACUUCCUAAAAACUCUCAAAGUCUCUUCUGCUGCAGGUUGCUUUGUAGAACUGUUCCAGAAAACCUCACUAAACCACAUGGAGGAGCCUCAAGAUAGUCGUCCAAAUGAAACCAUACAAAAACCAAACUAGCACAACCCAAACGCUAAAGUCUCCUGCAGCCUACCAGAGAACCUCUGAGAACAGAGAAUCAGGACAGGAACUCUUACCUUCUGGACAACCAGCGUUGGUUCUCAAACAAGAAUACAGAAUGUGUCAGACCAAAAACCUCUAAAGACUCACUACAGCCAAGAUAAAGACACAACUCAGCUGCAGCAAAUCCACUAAUCACUGCACACAUUAGCACCAUGUGCUAACUGUGGCUAAAGAACCACAUUUACCAAGACAACUAUCUGGUACAAAGCCCUAAAACACACCAAGAAACACAUUAAAGAUGAUUUUACUGCUGGAAGCUGCAAGCCAACGCCUAAAGAACAAACUACAGCAACAGAGUCCAAACCCGGUUCAGUGGUGAAGAGAAGCAGAGG